Molecule: long non-coding RNA, 674 nt
Organism: Tympanuchus pallidicinctus (lesser prairie-chicken)
Lineage: Eukaryota; Metazoa; Chordata; Aves; Galliformes; Phasianidae
Exons: 7
Source: RefSeq, a predicted model, not a curated record
AGGGCGAUAGCAGGGCUGUGCUGAGGCAGGUCCUGGCAGGGCGAUAGCAGGGCUGUGCUGAGGCAGGUCCUGGCAGGGCAAUAGCAGGGCUGUGCUGAGGCAGGUCCUGGCAGGGCGAUAGCAGGGCCGUGCUGAGGCAGGUCCUGGCAGGGCGAUAGCAGGGUUGUGUUCAAUGAUGACACAGCAGGUCCUGGCAGGGCGAUAGCAGGGCCGUGCUGAGGCAGGUCCUGGCAGGGCGAUAGCAGGGUUGUGUUCAAUGAUGACACAGCAGGUCCUGGCAGGGCGAUAGCAGGGCCGUGCUGAGGCAGGUCCUGGCAGGGCGAUAGCAGGGCUGCGCUGAGGCAGGUCCUGGCAGGGCGAUAGCAGGGCCAUGCUCAGGCAGGUCCUGGCAGGGCGAUAGCAGGGUUGUGUUCAAUGAUGACACAGCAGGUCCUGGCAGGGCGAUAGCAGGGCCGUGCUGAGGCAGGUCCUGGCAGGGCGAUAGCAGGGCCGUGCUGAGGCAGGUCCUGGCAGGGCGAUAGCAGGGCCGUGCUGAGGCAGGUCCUGGCAGGGCGAUAGCAGGGCCGUGCUGAGGCAGGUCCUGGCAGGGCGAUAGCAGGGCUGUGCUCAGGCAGGUCCUGCCAGGGUGAUAGCAGGGCCGUGCUGAGGCAGGUCCUGGCAGGGCAAUAGCAGGG